RNAcentral lists this long non-coding RNA (1340 nucleotides) under Gallus gallus (chicken). RNAcentral's name for it is "long non-coding RNA NONGGAT008006". Lineage: Eukaryota; Metazoa; Chordata; Aves; Galliformes; Phasianidae. The record is from RNAcentral.
CUUUCCUCUGCUCGGAUUGUGCUCUGACAGAUCUCAUAGUUUCUGAAUUUCCUCAAAAGAUCUGAUGGGGCAUCCCCCGACCAGCGGAAACUGAUUGCUUCCAAAAUGAUGAUGACCGGGCUGCACACUUCUGUCAAUGAAGCUUCCCAACCUUGCCUUCAACAGAAAGGUUUCAGUGUCUGUUUUUGUGCCACAAAGUGAACUGCAGUUUCAAGAGCAGGAUUCAGCUGACAAAACCCUAAGCCUUGCAAGCUUUUUGUUCACAGGGAGUUUUCCCAUCUACAGUCUGUUCAGACAGAAUGAACAAGGAGUCCAAAACACAGCAGUGGGCAUAUUUGUUUUCCCUCCUCCCAGGGAUUUCCAGUGAUUGGGAUACAAACAAAAGGUUUGAGCAUGGAACCUGCAAAAUACUAAUACAGCAGAGCAGCACAGUCAAUUGCUGCUCCAUCCGACUUCCCAGAACAAUGCAUGGAGCAUCAUCAGAAAAGGAAAAGAGAACCCAUAUAUAAAAAUAUAAAGAUUACCUUCAGGAGAUAAGCGAUGUUUGAAAGGGAAUCACAGCACGGGAGAUGGUAUAGUGUGUGCGUAUUCACAUGUUUUGGUUAGUGUACCUCGGAGUGUACAAACAGUACAGAAAGUGAGGAAAUCUCGUAUUUGUCCUCUGUACCCAGCCACUAACAACGUGUUUGUGUUCGUUCCCAACACGUAAUCAACAACGUUGCGUGCUCAAAGUCAGGAGCAAAAGUAAAUCCUGGCUCAGCGUAACAGAAGGCUUGCCAUCCACUUGUUGGUCCAAAAUGGCUAUUUAAAUAUAACAAGGGAGAACUGGACAUCUGUAUUUCAAUUUAUUCCCAUUCAAUGUAUCCAAUCUUUAGCACCAGCUCUUCUCAAUCAGCUUGAGUUGUAUUGCUUCCCAAGGACAGAGCACACAGAAUUCAAGGCACAACAUGACUCAACUAAGUUCUGCAUGCUCCACUUUUGGACGGUCACACAUACUCAGAGAUGCAGAAACAGAAGAGGAGCCAAGCACUGCCAAACCGACUUCCCAAUUCAGGGGCAACUGCUGCAACAUCAUGACUGCAUGCACAAAUGCUUGCAUGCUUAAGAGUCAGCUUUAGGACCCUUGAUUCAUUUCCUCAUAAACAGCUUCGCAGAAGGCUUUCUAUCAACCAUCUGUGCCAGUUAUGAGCAUCUAAAUAGCAUCACUGAAGUAACACCUCUCUUCUUAGGCCUCAAAAUCUGCUUCUUGUCUCAACUUCAACAUAGAAAAAGAAUGCUUUAGUACAAAUCUGCAGACAAUGACAGAAUUGUUCUGAUUCACAUUGUUACUUCUAGUUUUG